CUUCAUUUUCAUCAAUUAUCACCAAAGCUGCAAUCCUUUGGUUUCACACAAGUUGAAUCAAUAGUGGCUGAUUUGAGCUUUCCAUUCUUUCCAAUAAUCCCACAGUUUUUAGUUCUUCUGGAGGCACUUUGUCACAUGCUUUAGCAUUACUGAAAUUUUGUGUCACAUGAUUCUUGUUUCUAGGGCUUUUAUAAUGAUUAACUUCCAUCCUAUUAUUGGUAACUAUUAGGAUUUGAAGAUGGUUGACCAUCCAAUUUUCUACGGUAGUAAAUGUCACAUGCCCAGUGGAAAAAACAAAACAGAACUCACAUAGUAGGGGCUGCAAAAGUAAACUAUGUGCAUGUGAACUAUGAACCUGGUGGAAAAAGGGCCAACAUAAUGAAUUAUGUUACUAAAAUAGGAAGAAAAAAUGGAGAAAUGCUGAAUAAAUGGAAGAGGGGCAAUAAUAGGAGAACUUCUGAAAAAUAUUGGAGUUUAUCGUUUAGAAUUUGUAGCAAUAAAAGGAAGAAUUAAUAUUGUCUGGUUUUAUUCAUUCUUUUUAAGAAGCAGUUUUCUUAAUUAUUUAUAUUUUAAAUUUGUGAUUCAAUGAUCCUAGAAAAUGGGAGAAACCAUAAGGAAAAACUAAGAGAAAUUUGUUAAGAGUAUUUACUGCAGAGAAAGAAAUUUUUUUAGAAAGUGAGUCUUAAAUGAAGAAAUUAUUUGUUUAGAGUCUUAACAAAUCAGUUAGAUUUGUAGUAUUCUGCAGUUGAAGGUGCUUGCAAGCAGUGAUUUUGACAUGUUGAAUAGGCUUCAACAGCUAACAAACACUGUAACAACUGAACAUUACAAAAGAAACUGAACUUUGUUACAUAAUUUAAGUCACACAAGCUUUAUAAGCUUAGCUACUAGCUAGCCUAUAUUCUAAUAUAUUCUUAACCCUUCAUCGCAUUUUAUUGUGCACUGUUGUAUUUGACAGAUCACUUUGAAUUUUGAACAUGAAGUUGUUUCUUGGCAUUCCUAUUUUGUGUGCGAGGCAUUACUAUCUUUACACUCUUGACAUGUCCAAUUCCUAAUACCUUCCUUGGCUUUAAUUAUUUUAAGGUCGAUGAUGUCCUCGAGACAAAGUUGGGACAAGAGUUUCAACUUGUUAUGGAUAAAGGAACGCUAGAUGAUUGCAUCCUGAUGGUCCUGUCAAGAGAUUGGUUGCUCCUGGUGGAAUACUUGUAAGCACUUCUAAAUUUAUUCCAAGUUCUAGGCGUUUGUGGGUCGUGGCAUGAACUGUGCAUGCCUAUUACUUAGUGGGAUUCUUUUAUUCAUUAAAAAAGAAGUCAUUAUUAUUUUGAUCUUGA
Non-coding RNA from Cajanus cajan (pigeon pea), 1328 nucleotides. NCBI's taxonomy places the organism in Eukaryota, Viridiplantae, Streptophyta, Magnoliopsida, Fabales, Fabaceae. The record is from RefSeq and is a predicted model, not a curated record.